AGACAAGAUCAGCAUGGUCCCUGUGCAAGGAUGACAUGCAAAUUUAUGAAGCAUUCCAUAUUUUU
This 65-nucleotide small nuclear RNA is filed under the name Chlorocebus sabaeus (green monkey). The record is from RNAcentral. Lineage: Eukaryota; Metazoa; Chordata; Mammalia; Primates; Cercopithecidae.